This 253-nucleotide ribosomal RNA is filed under the name uncultured bacterium. Its description in RNAcentral is "partial 16S ribosomal RNA". It matches the Rfam family "Bacterial small subunit ribosomal RNA", at positions 524 to 776 of the family's 1533-position model. The record is from RNAcentral.
UACGUAGGGUGCGAGCGUUAAUCGGAAUUACUGGGCGUAAAGCGUGCGCAGGCGGUUCGUUAAGUCCGAUGUGAAAGCCCCGAGCUUAACUUGGGAAUGGCAUUGGAAACUGGCGGGCUGGAGUGUGGCAGAGGGGGGUGGAAUUCCACGUGUAGCAGUGAAAUGCGUAGAGAUGUGGAGGAACACCGAUGGCGAAGGCAGCCCCCUGGGUCAAGACUGACGCUCAUGCACGAAAGCGUGGGGAGCAAACAGG